Long non-coding RNA from Aquila chrysaetos chrysaetos, 1377 nucleotides. RefSeq lists it as uncharacterized. NCBI's taxonomy places the organism in Eukaryota, Metazoa, Chordata, Aves, Accipitriformes, Accipitridae. The record is from RefSeq and is a predicted model, not a curated record. The transcript is spliced from 2 exons.
UGCUGCAGGCGCCAGUGGGUGAUGACGUUGGAGCUCUGGGUGAAGCUCUUGCCGCAGUCGGGGCAGACGUAGGGCCGCUCGCCGGUGUGGACACGCUUGUGCUUGCCCUACUCUCACUUUUUCCGUCCUUUGGGACCUGUUUAUAUCUGUUAUGGGAGUCGGAUGGAGAAACCUCGGAGUCUGACUGGGAGCUGCUGGUGGUGAUUUACAGUGAAUAAUUCACUCUGCAGCUGGAGAUAUUUCAGAGAAGGAUUAUUAUGGGAUCUAAUUCUGCUCUGGCAGCCUGUGCUGUCCAAAGGCAGUGCUGGUACCAGUUCAGCAGUGUGUGUAGUCUCGAUAGACAUGAACAGCAACGGCACCGUGUUUGCUUUUUCAGAUGGAAAACUAAAGCACGUAAUUUCUGCUGGUACUACAUUUAAUGAACUACUUUCCCAUGUAACUUUGCAUAAUCUUAAGUUAUUCAUAUCUAUUUAAAGAAAGGUUUGUGUUCCGCCCAGGAAAAGUAAGUUUAAUUACUGACCUGGUCAGGUGGUUGGUGCGACGUACAAAGCUGCUGCAAAGGAGUGGGUGGCGUCGUCUCCAGCAGCCGUCUGUUCCUUGAUUUGGUGCUUGGCGUGCUGCAAACCCAAGCCAGAACAGAACACGUGCUGCUGCACAUCCCCAUCUGGGGAAGAUUUUUUUGUUUCCCCCCUUGUUUUGUUUCUUUUUCCUCCUGGUCCUGGCCACUCUGCUGUACAUAAUGCAGUGAUGGAUGGUGGGGAGAUGGCUGGUGGGUCUGGAUGUGGAAGGGUGCGUAGGGGUGAAGCAGACGCCCAGCGCAGAGGAGGGUUGGUCUGUGAAGUGUAACUGGUUUGUGAGACUGUGGGACUGUAAAUUCAUUCAAGGGGCUUUGUGGUUUCUGGUGCCACCCUGGCAGGUGGGCGGCUAUUCUUGCGUGUGGGUGUGGAAGGCAAGGGCGCACUGCAACGCACAAAGCUUGCUUGUUUUCCACCCGGGAAUCCCAAUGGAGGAGGUGAUGGUGCCGUGAAGAGAUAGUUGUGAAGAUGCUAAGGACAGCUGUGUGUCUCAUGUAGAAUAAAAUUCUCAGUGCUGCGUGUGUGUGUGACCUGGUGCGGUGUUUCAGCAUUAUGUGUCAUACCUGCUGUGGUGUCCACCCUCGCCGCAGCUUGUCUUUGUCUCUGCCGUGUCCCCGCGGUCCUGGCGGCGUCAGGGGUUUUGUUGGAUGUGCCACUGGCCGAGGGGGUGGCAGUCGCUCGGGCUCCUGCCGGCGCAGCGGUGACAGUUGGGGAUGGCCAGUGGUGGUGGCACGGCCAGCGGUUUGAAGCUGCAGUGUAUCUGCCGCAGGCACGUUCGUUUCCCCAGGAAUUUGGGGUUCCC